RNAcentral lists this unclassified non-coding RNA (260 nucleotides) under Ascomycota sp. RNAcentral's name for it is "partial contains small subunit ribosomal RNA, internal transcribed spacer 1, and 5.8S ribosomal RNA". The stretch from base 1 to 46 matches the Rfam family "Eukaryotic small subunit ribosomal RNA", at positions 1786 to 1831 of the family's 1831-position model. The record is from RNAcentral. Lineage: Eukaryota; Fungi; Ascomycota.
AAGUCGUAACAAGGUUUCCGUAGGUGAACCUGCGGAAGGAUCAUUAAUAAACCUAGUCGCUCGCGUCAGGGGCAACCCGCGCGCGAGCGUCUCACCUAGGUCACCCUUGAAUAAACUACCUUCGUUGCUUUGGCGGGCCGCCUCCAAGGCCAGCGGCUUCGGCUGCUGCGCGCCCGCCGGAGGACCACAACUCUUGUUUUUAGUGAUGUCUGAGUACUAUAUAAUAGUUAAAACUUUCAACAACGGAUCUCUUGGUUCUG